This is a long non-coding RNA of Pan troglodytes (chimpanzee), 1149 nucleotides long. RefSeq lists it as uncharacterized. Lineage: Eukaryota; Metazoa; Chordata; Mammalia; Primates; Hominidae. The transcript has 3 exons. The record is from RefSeq and is a predicted model, not a curated record.
UUUUCCCCUGAGAGCGGCCUCGGAGAUGGCUGUGACUGUCCUAAGCUGGGAGCUGCAAGGGAGAAUUCCUGUCAUUCCUGGCCUCAACUCUGCAGGGACCGAGGGCGAGACACGCCUGGGCCCAGGUGUGGCGUCUCUGUCCCCAUCUGGUUUUAGGCGUGUUACACCUUCACACGCACUAGGGAUCCAGCUUUCCUGAAGACAUGACCUAUUUACCCCAGACAAAAUAUGACCAAACAGACUCCUGCUUACAAUUUCCGUGGGCAGGUUGGCCACCUGUAGCUCAUCCCUAGCACUGAUCCUAAGUCCCUCAAAUAGAGUUCAUGUGCAUCCCCACGACUGCCAAUCACUUGUACUGUGAGGUACCUGGCUAAGUGUUGAGAUUGCAGAACUGGUGGAGGGCUGGGGGUGGGGACUUGGGGGUGUCCCUGACCGGAGGAGCUCACUUGUCACACUCCUCUCCCAUGUUUAGGGCUGGGCUCCUUCAGGCAAGGGAUAUGCAGAGUUGUGACCUCUAGGUAUUAAGAACGCAGCAUCACAGGGAGAGGCUGUCUAGGGCAGGAUAGUCAUGUACACGCAGUUGCCAGAGUGUAAAGGAAAAAAAAAAGUUUUUUUUUUGUUUUUUAUUUUGUGGAAAACAAAAGCAGAAAAACUAAAACCCCAAACUCCAGAAAAAAUCCUAAAAAAUAUGUUUUUUCUUAAAAAAUACUGUAUGUCUCUACUCCUCUCCCUCCCUCCCAACAGCCCUUCUCGUGUUCUUUCUUUUCUAAGUGCCCUAUCCCCCCCACCCCCAUGACUAUCCAUUGUUUCUUGCUAUUGUACCCCCACUUCCCAAUAUCUACCCAGGAUGCGCACCCCACGUUCUCUUACCUGGCGUCUUACUUUGUUCUCCCUCAAAUUUCAGCAAGCCUCAUACUCGCAGUCUCAUUUCCCCAGCAUGCAAGAACUGUCUCCCACUUCCUUUUCUGGGACUCAGUAAUCUUUUCCCCUUACCACUCCCUCACCCCAGGUCUAUUCUAAGCAGGAGCAUGUCCUCCUGCCAAAUUCCCUCCCUGUUCCCACCCACCCCCCAACCCUUCUUAUCUCGAGAAAUGUCAGAACCUUCCCCUGGGCAGCCUUAGCCAGGAAUAAAACAUUUUUGUCUUCCUC